RNAcentral lists this long non-coding RNA (239 nucleotides) under Vigna radiata. RNAcentral's name for it is "long non-coding RNA (VRAD_LNC008513)". The record is from RNAcentral. Lineage: Eukaryota; Viridiplantae; Streptophyta; Magnoliopsida; Fabales; Fabaceae.
GGGUGAUGGACGGAGUCAUCCAGUAUUAGGCGAGGUUGUGCUUUAACUUUUGGAAGAAGCUACAAUACAUUCUUGGUAUUUAAAAGAAAAAGAAAAGAAACUUUGAUUGAUUGAGGAUGCAGAACCUGUCACGUUCAUCCCAUGUUCAUUUAAUUUCUUUCUUUAAAAUCCACAAGCAAUUUAUUUUCUUCCUUUAAAAGCUACGGUGGUUACGGCCAGAAUGUAGUGUCUAGCGAAUU